RNAcentral lists this long non-coding RNA (1781 nucleotides) under Phasianus colchicus (ring-necked pheasant). Its description in RNAcentral is "lncRNA (ENSPCLG00000009370.1)". The record is from RNAcentral. Lineage: Eukaryota; Metazoa; Chordata; Aves; Galliformes; Phasianidae.
GUUCUGAGAGACAGACUGUAGGAAGACGAGUGUGAGUUGUACUAAAAGGAGUGGGAAUGGGGAGAGGUGGCAUGGCAGUGUGAGAAGGCAGUGCCUGCAGGAAUGCAGGGAAUUGAGGCAAUCUCUGAGAGAAGUCAGUGCAGAUGUCUCCUUUGAAUAAAGCAAACUGAGGCUUUUGGGGAGACUUGAGUCCAUUGGUUGGGGAAUGGGAUGGAGAAAAUGAGAGAUUGUUUCUUCAGGCAGUGGAGGGAAUGGCACAUCUGCAAGAUCUAGUGCCAACUGUGCCUGGACUGAGAGCUGAGAAACUCUGUGCUUCAGUUCUUUUUCAUGUCAUGAAAUUAUUAAAUUCACAAGUUCUGGGAGAUUGAAAAUUACCUUUAAACUGCAGUUUGCAGUUUAUCAUUGGCUGUUCAACAUAUGUCUCUUUUUGGGAAAAAAAAAAAAAAAAGGUGACAUUUGCACUGAAGUGAGAUAAAAGCAGUUAUGUGAAUUUGCAUGAGCUGCUUUUUAUUUAUCAAAUGUUUAAAGAUGCUCCUGUGUUUUGAAACCUCCUAGGCUACUUGCCCGUUGCUGAGGUACCAUAUGUAAAAUUCUGACUUAGAGGACAUAUGUUGGUGAGUGUAACCCAAGAGGCUGAUUCUCUUUAUAUUUCACCUCUGUGUCGUGUCAGGGAAACUCCACUGAUUUAUCUGGGUGGGAGCAGAUUCAGGCCCCAAACCUCAGUUUGUGGUGGGAACUGUGUAACAAAUUCAUAAAUCACGUUCCUACAAACAAAAAACUCCAGCACACCACCUUAAUGAAACUUUUAGUAAUGGAGUAAUCAGAGCUGGAUCACACAAGGGCACAAACUGUCUCUCAAACUCACAUGCUUUUCUCUUCUGCCUGACCAUCCCUACGUGGCAUUUCUCUGCUGCAGAAGCACAGCACAAAGCUCCUGCUGACUGGACAGAGGGUCAGAUCAAUACAGGGUGGAUUCAGGUGCCUGCAGUGAUAAUCAAGAGAAGAAAGCCAUGGUAUUGCCCGCUUGAGAGUAGGGGAAAAAAAGGUUGUUGCCCCAUGCAGUAUAUUUAAUCGCAGUUUGGAAAUACAGACUGUGCACAGUUAAUUCUGCAUCAGCACAGCAGCUGUGUCUAAAGCUCGGUGGCUGCCCAGCUGGGGAGCUGCACAGUGCAGGGCAGAGCCUGGAGAACACAGCAACGUGUUGUGCCUUAGCCUCUGCUGGAAAAAGGAACUGUCAUGCAUGUGGCAUGGCUAAAUGCAUUCAAACAUGUAUGUUAGCCCUCAGGUCAGCUCUUGGAACUUUUGGCACACACAGUUUGGUGACGUGACCGGUGGGAACAUGAGAUUGUCCCCAUAUUCCAUCUUCGGGUGAGAGGCAGAUAUCUGUGGGUUUUAACGUGGGUCAGGGGUAUGUUUUGGAGUCAGUCUUUUGGUGGUCUGUCCACAUGAACUUUGGUCAGCAUCAAGGCAGAGUCUUGAAGUUCAUGAACUGGAUUGCUUCUGGAUGACACAAAACUAGAAGACAUGCUCUGGGAGCAGAGACACAAUGCUCCACGUGCAAAUGAGCUUUCAAGUGCAAAGGACCAGACUAAAACUAGUCUGAAGUGGGUGAAACAUCCCGGUACGUGCAUAGCAUGGAUAUCAGGACCUCAGCAUCUUUUCAGUCUACAAACCUGCUCUUAGUGCACUCUGUUUUAUAAUUAACAUACGCAUAGCAUAAUAGCUAUUGCUUUCAAAAUCCCAGUAUUUGAGGAGGAGUCAGAUUUACAGCUCCUUUUUCU